This 395-nucleotide ribosomal RNA is filed under the name uncultured bacterium. RNAcentral's name for it is "partial 16S ribosomal RNA". It matches the Rfam family "Bacterial small subunit ribosomal RNA", at positions 523 to 918 of the family's 1533-position model. The record is from RNAcentral.
AUACGUAGGGUGCAAGCGUUAAUCGGAAUUACUGGGCGUAAAGGGUGCGCAGGCGGUUUUGUAAGACAGUGGUGAAAUCCCCGGGCUCAACCUGGGAACUGCCAUUGUGACUGCAAGGCUGGAGUGCGGCAGAGGGGGAUGGAAUUCCGCGUGUAGCAGUGAAAUGCGUAGAUAUGCGGAGGAACACCGAUGGCGAAGGCAAUCCCCUGGGCCUGCACUGACGCUCAUGCACGAAAGCGUGGGGAGCAAACAGGAUUAGAUACCCUGGUAGUCCACGCCCUAAACGAUGUCAACUGGUUGUUGGGGAUUUAUUUUCUCAGUAACGAAGCUAACGCGUGAAGUUGACCGCCUGGGGAGUACGGCCGCAAGGUUAAAACUCAAAGGAAUUGACGGGG